This 58-nucleotide transfer RNA is filed under the name Diaphorina citri (Asian citrus psyllid). It matches the Rfam family "tRNA", at positions 17 to 71 of the family's 71-position model. Rfam says of the family: Transfer RNA (tRNA) molecules are approximately 80 nucleotides in length. Their secondary structure includes four short double-helical elements and three loops (D, anti-codon, and T loops). Further hydrogen bonds mediate the characteristic L-shaped molecular structure. tRNAs have two regions of fundamental functional importance: the anti-codon, which is responsible for specific mRNA codon recognition, and the 3' end, to which the tRNAs corresponding amino acid is attached (by aminoacyl-tRNA synthetases). tRNAs cope with the degeneracy of the genetic code in two manners: having more than one tRNA (with a specific anti-codon) for a particular amino acid; and 'wobble' base-pairing, i.e. permitting non-standard base-pairing at the 3rd anti-codon position. Lineage: Eukaryota; Metazoa; Arthropoda; Insecta; Hemiptera; Psyllidae. The record is from Rfam by way of RNAcentral.
GCUCCCAUGGCGCUCGCCUUGCACGCGGGAGACCCGGGUUCGAUUCCCGGCGGGGUCA